Non-coding RNA from Rhopilema esculentum, 1106 nucleotides. The record is from RefSeq and is a predicted model, not a curated record. NCBI's taxonomy places the organism in Eukaryota, Metazoa, Cnidaria, Scyphozoa, Rhizostomeae, Rhizostomatidae.
CAGAUUGAAAUUCAAAUCUCUGUUUAAAUAUUUUGAUAUGUUGAAUUUUUAGGAACUUUUUGUUUAGAAUUAUGCUAAUGUUAUGUUUUCUUCUAGACCUAAUAUUUUUAGGCCCUAGCUUCUUAACUCAAAAACCUAAGGAUUUUCUUUGAAAAUCAGUAUUUCGAUGUUUUGCUACCUUUGAAAUACUGUUCUUUAGCUGUGGAUUUAUUUAAAUCAUGCAUUAAGAAAUAAUACAAAAUGCUGUAACAGUUGUUUUGAAUGCUAGAUAGACCCUCUUGAAGCACUUUCAAGCUGAUAGUGAGGACAUGCUUUCCUAGAUAGUAUAAAGCAUAUCUAUUACACACCUUCCAUUAUUUUUCAAAAGAGGUUACAGUGCAGCCAGUGGCCAUGGCAGGCUUAAACUAGAAAAUCAAUUAGGAUUGGUCAGGGAAUCUUGCUUUUGAUUGGAUCUGUAUCUAUAGGAGCUGUGUGAAAUGAUGCCAAAUUAUUUAUUGGAAAAAGUUACAAAUGGCAAUAUCCUGCACAGAUGUUUAGUUAAUUUUGUUAUAAGAAAGGUUCAAAAUAUUAAUUACUUUUUAUCAAAAUGUUUUGGUAUUUGUUAUGGGAAAAAUGAUGAUAAGGUUAGGUGUCAUUUUCAGUAUCAAUCAUUGGCCUCUCUUGCUAUGUUUGCACUUUUUUGCCUAACUUUGGGACAGUUUCUUUUUUUGAACCUCAGGGUAAGUAUGAAUUUUGAAAUAAUUUUCCUUGUCAAAGCUUAUGCAUUUUGUUGAGAAGUAGGAGUGAAGAUUCAUAUUCAAGCUAUUCCUAGGAAUCUUUGUCUUCCAAAGCUCAUUUUCACUUCCAUUUUCACCUCCACAUAAUUAAUUGAUAUUUGCAUUGAAUUUUAAGAAAUUGUUAGAACAGAUUACUACGGUGAUCACUGCCUGAUGCUUUUAAUUUCUUUAAACAGUUCAACAUUUUGACAAUAUAUGUAUAUUUUUGUUAUUCAAACUGAAUUUGAAUUCACAGUAAUUAACAAAUUUUUUUUUCAUUGCAGAUUUCUAAUCUUGACUUUGCCUUCCUGCUGGUUUGAUGUCUUGCUUUGGUCCAACAAUUUCACUGCA